This 529-nucleotide ribosomal RNA is filed under the name uncultured bacterium. Its description in RNAcentral is "bacterial SSU rRNA". It matches the Rfam family "Bacterial small subunit ribosomal RNA", at positions 355 to 883 of the family's 1533-position model. The record is from RNAcentral.
UGGGGAAUAUUGCGCAAUGGCCGAAAGGCUGACGCAGCGACGCCGCGUGGGGGAUGAAGCAUUUCGGUGUGUAAACCCCUGUUGCCCGGGACGAACAGCCCUUUUCGAGGGGCCUGACGGUACCGGGUGAGGAAGCACCGGCUAACUCUGUGCCAGCAGCCGCGGUAAUACAGAGGGUGCGAGCGUUGUCCGGAAUCACUGGGCGUAAAGGGCGCGUAGGUGGCUCGCUAAGCGUGCGGUGAAAGCCCGGGGCUCAACCCCGGGUCGGCCGUGCGAACUGGGGAGCUCGAGCACUGUAGAGGCGGGUGGAAUUCCGGGUGUAGCGGUGGAAUGCGUAGAGAUCCGGAAGAACACCGGUGGCGAAGGCGGCCCGCUGGGCAGUGGCUGACACUGAGGCGCGACAGCGUGGGGAGCAAACAGGAUUAGAUACCCUGGUAGUCCACGCCGUAAACGAUGGGCACUAGGUGCUUGGGGGAGCGACCCUCCGAGUGCCGGCGCUAACGCAUUAAGUGCCCCGCCUGGGGAGUAC